GAUGAACGCUGGCGGCGUGCUUAACACAUGCAAGUCGAACGAAGCACUUUAUUUGAUUUCCUUCGGGACUGAUUAUUUUGUGACUGAGUGGCGGACGGGUGAGUAACGCGUGGGUAACCUGCCUUGUACAGGGGGAUAACAGUUGGAAACGGCUGCUAAUACCGCAUAAGCGCACGGCAUCGCAUGAUGCAGUGUGAAAAACUCCGGUGGUAUAAGAUGGACCCGCGUUGGAUUAGCUAGUUGGUGAGGAAACGGCCCACCAAGGCGACGAUCCAUAGCCGACCGGAGGGGGGGACCGGCCAAAUGGGGACGGGACCAGGCCCCAAACCCCCACGGGGGGCAGCAGUGGGGAAAUUGGCAAAAGGGGGGAAAGCCUGAGGAAGCGACGCCGGGGGAGGAAAAAAGUAUUUCGGUAUGAAAAGCUUUAUCAGCAGGGAAGAUAAUGACGGUACCUGACUAAGAAGCACCGGCUAAAUACGU
RNAcentral lists this ribosomal RNA (480 nucleotides) under uncultured bacterium. Its description in RNAcentral is "partial 16S ribosomal RNA". It matches the Rfam family "Bacterial small subunit ribosomal RNA", at positions 28 to 506 of the family's 1533-position model. The record is from RNAcentral.